UACGAAGGGGGCUAGCGUUGCUCGGAAUUACUGGGCGUAAAGCGCACGUAGGCGGCUUUCUAAGUCGGGGGUGAAAUCCCGAGGCUCAACCUCGGAACUGCCUUCGAUACUGAUGAUCUUGAGUCCGGGAGAGGUGAGUGGAACUGCGAGUGUAGAGGUGAAAUUCGUAGAUAUUCGCAAGAACACCAGUGGCGAAGGCGGCUCACUGGCCCGGUACUGACGCUGAGGUGCGAAAGCGUGGGGAGCAAACAGG
This 253-nucleotide ribosomal RNA is filed under the name uncultured bacterium. RNAcentral describes it as "partial 16S ribosomal RNA". It matches the Rfam family "Bacterial small subunit ribosomal RNA", at positions 524 to 776 of the family's 1533-position model. The record is from RNAcentral.